Molecule: long non-coding RNA, 306 nt
Filed under: Parus major (Great Tit)
Lineage: Eukaryota; Metazoa; Chordata; Aves; Passeriformes; Paridae
Description: lncRNA (ENSPMJG00000019957.1)
Source: RNAcentral
GCCAGAGUCAGAGCCUGGCUUCUCUCCAAUGUGUUGAACCACUUUUGGCACGUGCAGCUCUUCACACAGAGAGCCAGUGGCUCUCAGCACAGUUCCAAGGCUGCAGGAGAGUUGGAAACAUGCAUCUCUAAUUCCCUGAAGGACCUGUGACAUCUGUGAGAAAGUGCAAUAACUCCCUGGCCACUCUUCCACCAUAUCCCUUGAACCUGCUGCAGAUGAGCCUAAAGUGCUUUGUGCGUGAGAUUAAAAAGCUGCAAGUCUCAGGCCAUCUGGCCAACCAAAUGGAUUUCGUGUACAGGAUCACUG